AGUAAGAUAAGCUAAGUGUAAGCUAUGGGUCUCACGUCCCCCAAAAGAAGGUUGAAACCCUUCUCUUCCUA
RNAcentral lists this transfer RNA (71 nucleotides) under Gymnocorymbus ternetzi (black tetra). Its description in RNAcentral is "tRNA-Val". It matches the Rfam family "tRNA". From Rfam's summary of the family: Transfer RNA (tRNA) molecules are approximately 80 nucleotides in length. Their secondary structure includes four short double-helical elements and three loops (D, anti-codon, and T loops). RNAcentral also lists the same sequence under 1 other name. The record is from RNAcentral. Lineage: Eukaryota; Metazoa; Chordata; Actinopteri; Characiformes; Acestrorhamphidae.